AGUCUUAUAUUCAAAAAUGAUUUUAGAUUGCAAAUCUAAAGGUAAAGUAAACUUUUAAGGCUU
This 63-nucleotide transfer RNA is filed under the name Protochauliodes humeralis. Its description in RNAcentral is "tRNA-Cys". The record is from RNAcentral. Lineage: Eukaryota; Metazoa; Arthropoda; Insecta; Megaloptera; Corydalidae.